GUACUUGCUUUGGCAGCACAUAUAACAAAACUGGAACGACACAGAGAAGAUUGGCACAGGCCCUGUGCAAGGAUGACACACGCCUUCAAGAAGAGUUCCACAUCUUU
Small nuclear RNA from Ictidomys tridecemlineatus (thirteen-lined ground squirrel), 107 nucleotides. The record is from Ensembl. Lineage: Eukaryota; Metazoa; Chordata; Mammalia; Rodentia; Sciuridae.